Molecule: long non-coding RNA, 1367 nt
Organism: Scylla paramamosain (green mud crab)
Lineage: Eukaryota; Metazoa; Arthropoda; Malacostraca; Decapoda; Portunidae
Exons: 3
Source: RefSeq, a predicted model, not a curated record
UAACAGUUUUAAUAAUCAGAGAAUAGAUUAGUAACAAUUUUGAUAUGCUAGUAGUAGUUUUCACCAUGGUUUCACAAAUACUGUUAAUUAGGCCAGGUGUGACAGGUGGAUGGCUUGCUACGAGUCUAAUUAUUACCUCUUCCUCUUCCUCAGGUGUGACAGUGAAGGAAAACAGACAAAAAGUAGGAGUGAUCGUGAAAAAAAAUAGUGAAUGAUGAAAAAUAUUGACUGAAUGAUCGUGAGGAAAUAAAUAUGGUGUUAGUGAAUGAUUGUGACGGAAAAACUGAGGUGAAAGUGAAUAACCGUGACAGAAAAUGAAAUGGAAGUGAAUGAUUGCGGUCAGAAAUAUUGAAAAUGAAUGAAAGUGAUGGUAAAUGGAAUGAAAGUGAAUGAUAAUAAAAAAAUAAUAAAUGAAAUGGAAGUGAAUGAUAAUGAUCGAAAAAUUGUGAUAAUGAAUGACAAAAAAAAAAUAGUGAAAAUUUAAUAAUAGAAAAUAUGAAAGUGAAAAUCAAUAACAGUGACGGGAAAAUAAAUAAAAUAAGUGAAAGUGAAUAACUGAUUUAAAAGAACAAUAAUGAAUAACGAUGGUAGAAAACGUAGAGCCUAAUAGAAAAUGGAAAGGGAAACUAAAGAAAAACACAGAAAACGGAGAAGAAGAAGAGGCGUGACAGGAGCGUGACGGAGGAACAUAACUCUUUCUUCACCUGUUUUUUUGUUUACUUGUUCUUGUUCAGCUGUUCUUUGUUUUCCUGCUCUUUAUUCACCUGUUCUUUAAUUAUCUUUGUUUUCCUGCUCUUUAUUCACCUGUUCUUUAAUUAUCUUUGUUUUCCUGCUCUUUAUUCACCUGUUCUUUAAUUAUCUUUGUUCUCCUGCUCUUUAUUCAUCUAUUCUUUAAUUGUCUUUGUUCUCCUGCUCUUUAUUCACCUGUUCUUUAAUUAUCUUUGUUUUCCUGCUCUUUAUUCAUCUAUUCUUUAAUUAUCUUUGUUCUCCUGCUCUUUAUUCACCUGUUCUUUAAUUAUCUUUGUUUUCCUGCUCUUUAUUCACCUGUUCUUUAAUUAUCUUUCUCCUGCUCUUUAUUCACCUGUUCCUUAUUCACUUCUUCUUUGUUCUGUUCUUUAUUCACCUGUUCUUCCUCCACCUAUUCUUCCUCCACCCUUUCUUUUCUCACCUUUAUUAUCUUCUUCACCUGCCUCCCUUUCGUCGCCUUCGUCAGUCCUGCUGAUGCUGCUGCUGCUGAUGAUGAUGUUUGGUUAUUCGACAUCCAAUCACCCAGUCGCCUCUCACUCAGCCACCGUCGACUCCACAAGCCAGCUGGAACUCGUCACGUGGGAGAGUAAACGCCGAGACCCACACCUGUCCCGCCCAGG